CCCACCUGCAGUAUGCAUUCAAGGUGGCUGUGCCAAAGAUUCUCCCUUACUGUCCUUAUGCCUCUGCUUGGGCAGAUGCAACGGGUGUAACGCUGCAGGAUUAGGUUGAGCCGCAUCCUCUUGUGGGCUGAGGAGUCUAGCUCUCAGCGCCGCCAGCAUGGCAAAAUUUGGUUACUAUUUAUAUUUUACGGCCGUUCUGUUUGAAUGGUUUUUCUGCCAUGAUGCCAGUGAUGUAUUCAAUAAAUGCAGCCAGCGAUGGCUUUACCUCCCAACAUGGUGUCUUUGUUAUUUAUUUCAAGGGGAACGUUGGGUUAGAGAGGGUUUUAUAAGGUUAGUUAUUUGGCUAAAAUUAAGGGACAUAGGAGAUUACCCAUUAUGCAGCUUGGCAAUGUUUUCAUUGCAGGGUUUAAGUACCACUCAAACAGCCACUAGCUGCACUUCAGCUGAGAUUAUAGUGCUUGAUGAUCUCAGCCAAGGAAGAUGGAUGGCAGUGCGGAUACCAUGCAACGAGGGAGAAAAGGUAAGUAAAAUGGCUUUACACCCUGUUCCAAAUUAUUAUGCAAAUUAUAU
Molecule: non-coding RNA, 570 nt
Organism: Pelobates cultripes (western spadefoot toad)
Lineage: Eukaryota; Metazoa; Chordata; Amphibia; Anura; Pelobatidae
Source: the annotation of a GenBank genome assembly